Molecule: unclassified non-coding RNA, 143 nt
Filed under: uncultured Capnodiales
Lineage: Eukaryota; Fungi; Ascomycota; Dothideomycetes; Capnodiales
Description: sequence contains ITS1
Source: RNAcentral
CUGAGCGAGGACCCCAGAGGCCCAACCUCCAACCCUUUGUUAACCAACACUUGUUGCCUCGGGGGCGACCCGGCCUCCGCGCCGGGCCCCCGGUGGACCAUUAACUCUGUAUCUGUACGUCGGAGUACUUCAUGAAUCAAUCA